GAUGAACGCUGGCGGUGUGCUUAACACAUGCAAGUCGAACGAUGAAGCCCAGCUUGCUGGGUGGAUUAGUGGCGAACGGGUGAGUAACACGUGAGUAACCUGCCCUUAACUCUGGGAUAAGCCUGGGAAACUGGGUCUAAUACCGGAUAGGAGCGUCCACCGCAUGGUGGGUGUUGGAAAGAUUUAUCGGUUUUGGAUGGACUCGCGGCCUAUCAGCUUGUUGGUGAGGUAAUGGCUCACCAAGGCGACGACGGGUAGCCGGCCUGAGAGGGUGACCGGCCACACUGGGACUGAGACACGGCCCAGACUCCUACGGGAGGCAGCAGUGGGGAAUAUUGCACAAUGGGCGCAAGCCUGAUGCAGCGACGCCGCGUGAGGGAUGACGGCCUUCGGGUUGUAAACCUCUUUCAGUAGGGAAGAAGCGAAAGUGACGGUACCUGCAGAAGAAGCACCGGCUAACUACGUG
This 466-nucleotide ribosomal RNA is filed under the name uncultured bacterium. RNAcentral describes it as "partial 16S ribosomal RNA". It matches the Rfam family "Bacterial small subunit ribosomal RNA", at positions 28 to 507 of the family's 1533-position model. The record is from RNAcentral.